AAUUUCAGUCCUAAUAGGCAUUGAUCCUGUGGCCGGUGCAACUCGUAAUAUCCUCACCUAUUCCCCUCAAUCUUUCGACCUCUCGAUUCCAGUCACAGUGAUCGGCACUGGCCUGGGACCGGAAAGUAAAAAUCCUUGCAUGCCACCUUGUGCCCAAUAUGGCGCGAACCACAAGGAGUUCUUCUAUGAGUGCAAGCCUCCAUGUGCACAUUUUGUUGUGAAGGACUAUGGUCACAUGGACAUGUUGGACGACGAUCCACAGGGCAUGGUUGGGGCAGUGUCGGGGUGCAUGUGUAAAAACGGGACAGGACCGAGGGAGCUAAUGAGGAAGACUGUGGGUGGGAUUGUUGUGGCGUUUCUGAAUGCUUAUUUGAAUGGUGAUGAUAAGGAUUUGGUUGCCAUUGUUGGCGAUCCUGAUAGUUCUCCUGCAAAGCUUGAACCUGUGGAGUUCAUUAGAGCAUAAGUUCAAGCUCAAGGUCGUCUUGAUAAUAGUCACCGACAUUAGCUGCACAUAUUAGCACAUAAAGAGGGGGUUAUAAAGCCUAUCAGUGGCUAAUUUCGGUGAUUAUUUUCAGGCUUUCUUCGAGGGUUAUUCAGAUCCUAGAGUGUUAUUUUCGAAUAAACAGCUCGGCCAUCAAAUGUGUGUGCCCAAGUACUGAAAUUUGGGGGUUUAUAUGUACUAGAACCAUCUCAAGUUUAUUAUGAAUUUCGGUUUAGAUAUGUAUUUAAAUGUCAUAAGAUAAAAUGUUAGAUGAUGAUGCGGUAAAUUGACAUUUUGUAAAUAUCUUGCUCCAACCGAGAUGCCGAAUAAAAAUACUGUUUUAUUAUUGCUAAAAGCAGUAGCUAGCACUUAAUACUGACACAGUGAAUACAGUGAAGGAAGAAAACAAAAUGAUGCCUCCAUAUGACAGCAUCAAAUUUGGUAGUUUAGGCGACGCCAACCCACCAAACUUUGACAUCUCGCUUCAACCAAAAAAAUAUAGCACCUCUUCUUGUUGUCAAAACAGUCCACGGUGUAGCAGAUCAGUUGGAGAUGCUCAAAAAAGUGAGUUAAAUUUUAAUACUUAGGGUCAUCCAACUGCUAACAGUUUCUUGUAACAUAAGUUCCUCACAAAGUAUAUAUGUACUGAAAUAGUAAAACUUGUUAGAUCUAAAUGGUGAAUGUGUUUUGGUUGAACCAUGAUCAUCUCAGAAUUUUACAUCAUCGUGCCGUUCCAUUUCUUGUAAAGGAUGUCCCUUGCAUUUUGGUUGAACCUUGUCCCCAGUUACUAAUUUACUAUAGAAAUAUCCCCUCCAUUUUCACUCUUGUGAAACUCUUUAUCUUGAACAUCCUCGCCUGUUUGCUUCACAUUAAUCUUUGCUGUGUUCGAUGAUGAUGGUUCGCCAUCCACAGGGGACCUCUCUUGACCAAAAUUCCUAGUCUCCAGGGCUGGAUUUCUUCCACAAAAGAGAAGGGAAGCCCCGAACGGUUGAUACUAUUCUUCGAGGGGGAUAUUUUUUUAACUGCAGUCUUCUCCAGACCAUUUCCAUUAGAAAUGGAGAUGGAUCCAUUGGGUGGUGAAUCAGGCACAACAGCAGCCAUCUCUUCAUUUGGUGCUGAUGUGGGUUCUUCAACGAAUCAGAUAUUUCAUGCAGCAAUGCAUUUAAAUCAACUCUCUCCACAGUACCAAAAGCCUCGCCGUUAAUCAAUGCAGUUUCAUUUACCGAACCAGUCGAUACCAUUUGGGUUUCAAAUUCGGCAGUACCCACAAACUCUGUCUCUUCAACCGGCCUCGAACUUUUUAACCCAUGUAGAUUGUUUGGCAAAUCAGAUAUUUCAUGCUCUUCAGAUUGCUACUGAUUCAAUUCUCUCCACAGUACCCACAUCAUUACCGUUCAUCAAGUCAGCCCAUCCACAUGACCAUUUGCGAGCCCGAGCUUGUCAACCCCGUGUCCAUCGCCAUUUUCACCCCUACUAACCAAGCUUUUUGUUGCUACACACUCAAAACUUCCCCUAGAAGCAGCCCCUCAUCAACCCUUAACUGACCAAACCGUCCGCACGCCGGGGGAAAAUCACGAACCGCAGAGACUGUGCGCCUCUUUAACUUGGGAACACCGUAAGAGCACUCUCCAUUUUCCAUGGAUUGUGCCUAUCUUCCCUCAGAGUGACUACCAUUAAGUUGAGCAAUUCGCCUCGAUGAUUUCGAAUGCUGCAUCGCCUCUACGACCCCCAUCGCAAUUCCAAAUCGCCUCUACAACCACAAUUAUUCGCAACGGCCUAAUCCAACAACAAAACCAAUUAAGCAACAACUUCAGUCUCAAGAUUCAGAGUAAUUAAAAAUAAUCGCGAUGAUUAUAUACUAAUUCAAAUUCCAAAGUACAAACAACCAACGAUUCAAAGUAGAAACAGAGAAAAUUAACGAAGAAAAACUUACUAGUUGAUGGAUAAUCCGGCGCGUAACAGUCGGGCGAUUGCAGGAGAAACGCCAUUUUUUUGAGAUACUUGGGAGGAGGUUUCUGGAAGGUGAUUUAGGGAGUGUUUGGCAAACUCUGCAAGCUUAGCGCGCGCUUCAGCGGCGACCUCGCGAAAUGACGCGAUGUGGCCAAGGAAGAAGACGACCCAACGGCUUGUUUUCUCUUCGCGGAACGGAGCAUUUUGGCUCAAAGGUGUUUUAGGAGACUGUUCGUCCCUCUACAAGUGACGUGGCGCUCAUUGCAUGCAUGGUGUGAGAGCACUACGAAUUCAAGAAAAGAUUUUUCAAUGUGACCGGUACAUGAGAUGGUAUAUCACGUGUCAUUAUACAAAUUGUGAGAUAUGUGUGUUAAAAAGUUAACAACUUAAAAAAUAAAAUUUCAAACCACUUCUAUUAAAAUACGUGGUCUACCACUUGUGUUCCUAUCUCGAUUAAAAAUUUGUCGAAUUCAAGGCUCUUGUUGAUUUCUAUAUUAGUGUGUUGACGCACUUGGAAUGAAUCUGGUGUGAUUGACACACAGUUACGGUUAUAUAAAGUAAUCAUAGAAUUAACGUUAAACUGUAUAGCAACAAAGAAUCAUAUUAUUUUUUACAUAAUAUUUUAUAACGUUGGUUUAAAAAUUAAUGUUAAACUUAACAGCAUUUUUCUUGAUAAAAUAAGCGACAGUUGAGGCAUUGCCAAUGUAUAUGCUGACUUAGAUUUCUCCACAUAGAUUCUCCCAUUAAUCCCCAAAACGAUGAAAUUUCAAAGCAUAUUGGAGGCAAAGGAGAAUAAUGUCAUUUUAUUUUCUUUUUUGGAAAACAUAAUGUCUUUAUACAGUUGUCAAUACUCAAUAUACUCACAGCCUCUCGCACGAGGCGACAGGAGUGGUACUAUAAUCCUUGGCUUAAUUAGCCCCACUUGGAUUUGGACCCUUUCACUCAAGCCGACAGGAGUGGUCCUAUAAUCCUGCAUUUUCCAUGUGCUUCACAAGUCCUUUUGUUUUCAUUUAAUCAAACUUAUCUUUUCUUCCAAUUUUUUCCAGCCAGGUCUAAACUGAUCCUCUAAAGUUGGCAGUCGGCCAAACUUUGGAUUCACCAUUAAAAAGAACCGAAGGUCACAUUACAUAGUUCUCACUUGCAUUGAGCCCCAUGGCACUUGUGGAAAAAAAUAUGUCUUCUGCUCAGCCUGCACUGACUACAUCUGUUUUUAAUCUAGGAAAUUGCCCCUUCAAAUGCAUCACGGAGGAGACACCACUGUCUUCCUGCUUUGAUUCUUCAGCACCUCCAAAGCCCUUGUUCAUUGUUACACCGACGGUAGCAGGCACUUACCCUCUAAUCUUGCUUCAUCACGGCUUCUACCUCCGCAACUACUUCUACAAGGAGUUACUCCAGCACAUAGCUUCACAUGGAUUCAUAGCUGUAGCACCUCAGGUAAUAUUGUCUUACCAUUUUAUAUUAACGUCCAAUACAAUUUCAGAAUUAAUUUAUUUUGUGUUAAUCCAACAAUUGUCGUCCAUGAAAUUUUUGGUCCAAUCUACUCUGUCAAAUGGGUUAUGAGUGUUUGAAAAUGCUUCUCCAGAAACCAUAUAUGCCCGUAAGAACUUUUGUUUUCUUAAAAAACACUUGAAAUUGCUUCCUUAGAAAGCACCUAGAACUUUCAAGUUCUUUAAUUUAAACCAAUGUUUUAAAAAAACUAGCCUCGGGGUGUGCCAAGGGCGUCCUUGAGGCUAGGCGCGAAGGCUAACGCCUCUGUUUUGCAGAAGUGGGCGGAAGGUAUCGCCGGAGCCGCCUAGGCGAGCCUUAGGGAUUUUUUUUUUUACUUCCAAACCCAAAUUUUGGGUAGGGUUUUAACUGCUUCAUACAUCUUCCUUGCGCUAUCGUCUCUCUGUCUUUUUCUGAUUUUUAUUUUUUUUAUAUAAUGGAUGUGUGUGCUGUCUACAUGCAUUGUUAUAUGUGUGCUUAUUGUGCUUUUCAUCCUCUAUUAGUUAUAUAUAUAUAUAAUAUAAUAUAUGUAUAUAUGUGCAUAUAUAUAUUUAUAAUAUAUGUGUGUGUUCAAUAUGAUUAUUGAUUAAUAAUCUUUUUUUUAAUAUAAUAUAUGUGUACACUCAGUGUAUAUAUUAAAAAUUUUAGGUCUUGUGAGGCUUCACCUCACGUCUAGGCUGGGCUAUCCUUCAGACGCCUUACCCACACCUCCCGCUUUUAAUACAUUGAUUUAAACUCCUUUUCAUUAUCCAAAAAAUAUUUUCACCAUUUUAAAUGAACUUUCAAACAAACUUUUAAUUUAGAAAUUGACUAAAAUUAUCAUCAAUCAAAUCUGAAUUGAUAAAUUGAUUAAAAUCAAAUAAUUGUCAUACAAUGUCGACCUCAUAGCAAUCAAAUAUUGACAAUACUGAAAAAUUGAUCAUUUCAGAAAUUGAUAUUUGAAAAAAAACAUAUAUUUUGGCCAAUUUAAUAAAUUUUCUGACAACAGAAUUAAUUGUGAGUUUGUUUUUUUCUUUUUGAUCAGUUAUGUGGGGUUGUGCCUCCAUGUGGACCUGAAGAAGUAGAGUCGGGAGCAAAAGUCAUAAACUGGUUGCCAAAAGGCCUCCAACCUCUGCUGCCAGAAAAUGUUGUAGCAGACUUCACCAAAUUUGCUCUUGCAGGCCACAGCAGAGGUGGGAAAACAGCAUUUGCAAUAGCACUUGGGCGUGCCAAAACUUCCCUGUCCCUCAAAAUUUCACUCCUAAUAGGCAUUGAUCCUGUGGCCGGUGCAAAUCGAUACUGCAGAACACGUCCUCGUAUCCUCACCUAUUCCCCUCAAUCUUUCGACCUCUCGAUUCCAGUCAUAGUGAUCGGCGCUGGCCUGGGACCGGAAGGUAAAAAUGCUUGCAUGUCAAAACCUUGUGCCCCAGAUGGCGUGAACCACAAGGAUUUCUUCUAUGAGUGCAAGCCUCCAUGUGCACAUUUUGUUGUGAAGGACUAUGGUCACAUGGACAUGUUGGACGACGAUCCACAGGGCAUGGUUGGGGCAGUGUCGGGGUGCAUGUGUAAAAACGGGACAGGA
This 5477-nucleotide long non-coding RNA is filed under the name Malus domestica (apple). Its description in RNAcentral is "long non-coding RNA (MDOM_LNC003411)". Lineage: Eukaryota; Viridiplantae; Streptophyta; Magnoliopsida; Rosales; Rosaceae. The record is from RNAcentral.